Molecule: ribosomal RNA, 253 nt
Filed under: uncultured bacterium
Lineage: Bacteria
Description: partial 16S ribosomal RNA
Rfam family: Bacterial small subunit ribosomal RNA
Source: RNAcentral
UACGUAGGAGACGAGCGUUGUCCGGAAUUACUGGGCGUAAAGCGCGUGUAGGCGGAUGGGCAAGUCUGCUGUGAAAGCUCCUGGCUUAACCGGGAGUGGUCGGUGGAAACUGCCAAUCUGGAGGACGGUAGAGGUAGGUAGAAUUCCCGGUGUAGUGGUGAAAUGCGUAGAGAUCGGGAGGAAUACCUGUGGCGAAGGCGGCCUACUGGGCCGGACCUGACGCUGAGACGCGAAGGCGUGGGGAGCGAGCGGG